AAAUUGAAGAGUUUGAUCAUGGCUCAGAUUGAACGCUGGCGGCAGGCCUAACACAUGCAAGUCGAACGGUAACAGGAAACAGCUUGCUGUUUCGCUGACGAGUGGCGGACGGGUGAGUAAUGUCUGGGAAACUGCCUGAUGGAGGGGGAUAACUACUGGAAACGGUAGCUAAUACCGCAUAACGUCGCAAGACCAAAGAGGGGGACCUUCGGGCCUCUUGCCAUCGGAUGUGCCCAGAUGGGAUUAGCUUGUUGGUGGGGUAACGGCUCACCAAGGCGACGAUCCCUAGCUGGUCUGAGAGGAUGACCAGCCACACUGGAACUGAGACACGGUCCAGACUCCUACGGGAGGCAGCAGUGGGGAAUAUUGCACAAUGGGCGCAAGCCUGAUGCAGCCAUGCCGCGUGUAUGAAGAAGGCCUUCGGGUUGUAAAGUACUUUCAGCGGGGAGGAAGGGAGUAAAGUUAAUACCUUUGCUCAUUGACGUUACCCGCAGAAGAAGCACCGGCUAACUCCGUGCCAGCAGCCGCGGUAAUACGGAGGGUGCAAGCGUUAAUCGGAAUUACUGGGCGUAAAGCGCACGCAGGCGGUUUGUUAAGUCAGAUGUGAAAUCCCCGGGCUCAACCUGGGAACUGCAUCUGAUACUGGCAAGCUUGAGUCUCGUAGAGGGGGGAGAAUUCCAGGUGUAGCGGUGAAAUGCGUAGAGAUCUGGAGGAAUACCGGUGGCGAAGGCGGCCCCCUGGACGAAGACUGACGCUCAGGUGCGAAAGCGUGGGGAGCAAACAGGAUUAGAUACCCUGGUAGUCCACGCCGUAAACGAUGUCGACUUGGAGGUUGUGCCCUUGAGGCGUGGCUUCCGGAGCUAACGCGUUAAGUCGACCGCCUGGGGAGUACGGCCGCAAGGUUAAAACUCAAAUGAAUUGACGGGGGCCCGCACAAGCGGUGGAGCAUGUGGUUUAAUUCGAUGCAACGCGAAGAACCUUACCUGGUCUUGACAUCCACGGAAGUUUUCAGAGAUGAGAAUGUGCCUUCGGGAACCGUGAGACAGGUGCUGCAUGGCUGUCGUCAGCUCGUGUUGUGAAAUGUUGGGUUAAGUCCCGCAACGAGCGCAACCCUUAUCCUUUGUUGCCAGCGGUCCGGCCGGGAACUCAAAGGAGACUGCCAGUGAUAAACUGGAGGAAGGUGGGGAUGACGUCAAGUCAUCAUGGCCCUUACGACCAGGGCUACACACGUGCUACAAUGGCGCAUACAAAGAGAAGCGACCUCGCGAGAGCAAGCGGACCUCAUAAAGUGCGUCGUAGUCCGGAUUGGAGUCUGCAACUCGACUCCAUGAAGUCGGAAUCGCUAGUAAUCGUGGAUCAGAAUGCCACGGUGAAUACGUUCCCGGGCCUUGUACACACCGCCCGUCACACCAUGGGAGUGGGUUGCAAAAGAAGUAGGUAGCUUAACCUUCGGGAGGGCGCUUACCACUUUGUGAUUCAUGACUGGGGUGAAGUCGUAACAAGGUAACCGUAGGGGAACCUGCGGUUGGAUCACCUCCUUACCUUAAAGAAGC
This 1553-nucleotide ribosomal RNA is filed under the name Escherichia coli. Its description in RNAcentral is "bacterial SSU rRNA". It matches the Rfam family "Bacterial small subunit ribosomal RNA". The record is from RNAcentral. Lineage: Bacteria; Pseudomonadati; Pseudomonadota; Gammaproteobacteria; Enterobacterales; Enterobacteriaceae.